Molecule: ribosomal RNA, 485 nt
Filed under: uncultured bacterium
Lineage: Bacteria
Description: partial 16S ribosomal RNA
Rfam family: Bacterial small subunit ribosomal RNA
Source: RNAcentral
GAUGAACGCUGGCGGCGUGCUUAACACAUGCAAGUCGAACGGAAAGGCCCAAGCUUGCUUGGGUACUCGAGUGGCGAACGGGUGAGUAACACGUGGGUGAUCUGCCCUGCACUUCGGGAUAAGCCUGGGAAACUGGGUCUAAUACCGGAUAGGACCACUUCUUGGAGGUUGUGGUGGAAAGUUUUUUCGGUGUGGGAGGAGCUAGCGGCCUAUCAGCUUGUUGGUGGGGUAAUGGCCUACCAAGGCGUCGACGGGUAGCCGGCCUGAGAGGGUGUACGGCCACAUUGGGACUGAGAUACGGCCCAGACUCCUACGGGAGGCAGCAGUGGGGAAUAUUGCACAAUGGGCGCAAGCCUGAUGCAGCGACGCCGCGUGGGGGAUGACGGCCUUCGGGUUGUAAACUCCUUUCGCUAGGGACGAAGCUUAUUUUGUGACGGUACCUGGAGAAGAAGCACCGGCUAACUACGUGCCAGCCGCCGCCGUAA